UUUCCGUAGGUGAACCUGCGGAAGGAUCAUUAGUGAAUAUUAGGACGUUCAAUUUAACUUGAAGUCCGAACUCCCACUUUCUAACCCUGUGCAUUUGUUUUGGCUAGUAGGAUAUUUCGGUAUCCGAACACCUCUUCAUUUACAAACACUAAGUCUAUGAAUGUUUAAAUUUUAUAACAAUAUAAAACUUUCAACAACGGAUCUCUUGGCUCUCGCAUCGAUGAAGAACGCAGC
This 234-nucleotide unclassified non-coding RNA is filed under the name uncultured fungus. Its description in RNAcentral is "sequence contains ITS1, 5.8S rRNA gene". The stretch from base 186 to 234 matches the Rfam family "5.8S ribosomal RNA", at positions 1 to 49 of the family's 154-position model. The record is from RNAcentral. Lineage: Eukaryota; Fungi.